Molecule: transfer RNA, 69 nt
Filed under: Ichthyosaura alpestris (Alpine newt)
Lineage: Eukaryota; Metazoa; Chordata; Amphibia; Caudata; Salamandridae
Description: tRNA-Gly
Rfam family: tRNA
About the family: Transfer RNA (tRNA) molecules are approximately 80 nucleotides in length. Their secondary structure includes four short double-helical elements and three loops (D, anti-codon, and T loops).
Source: RNAcentral
AUCUUUUUAGUAUAAUGAAUAUAAGUGACUUCCAAUCACUUGAUCCUAGCUAAAACCUAAGAAAAGAUA